This 838-nucleotide long non-coding RNA is filed under the name Homo sapiens (human). Its description in RNAcentral is "HSALNT0347948". The record is from RNAcentral. Lineage: Eukaryota; Metazoa; Chordata; Mammalia; Primates; Hominidae.
GGCAGGUAUAGAGUGUCUCACCUCGGAGUACUGGGGAUGAGGGGUGAGCGUCCGGGCAGCAGGCGAGCCCCCAAGGCUGGCCCGCUGACACCAUUCACAGGGAGAUCAAGUAUUUUGCCCAAGAGCACACAGCUAGAGAGUGGAGAAGUCCGGAUUCAACCCAGACAGAUUGACUCCAGAGCGUGUGCUAUUCGUGGCUAUGCCAGAAUGCCCUGAUGGCCUCAGGUUUGCCUUGCCAACUGACAAAGGCGACUGUUUCCUACCCAUUGGCUCAGAUGGUUCCAGCUUCCUACCCUUCCAGUUAAAAUAAACAAAAACGAGGGUCUUGAGUGUCUAUGAUUUUCAUAAGAUCUAUGGCGUUUCUUCUGCAGAUGAUCAACAGUUGCCUGCCUUGGACUUUGGAGUUCCCAAGAACUAGAAAAUCCAGGUCAGGAACUGUAUCUUUGCUCAGCCACCUGCAAACAGACUUGAGAACAAUGUAAACCACCCUCUGCAGGAUAUUGAUUCUGAUGGAGUAAAUGUUGAUUAAGCAGAAUGGUGUUUUUUUUUUUAACUGGAGGAAUUCCAGAUCUUUCCUUAGGCCUGUCUCUCCAGGGAAAUGAGCUCUAGCCUUAAAAAUCUACAGAAAACCUGAGUAAGAAUGAAGAUUUAUGAUGGGAGACGCUGGGCGGAAGACGGCUGGCUAUCUGGUGGGCUAUCUAGAAGCUCAUCUUUGUGUUAUUAGAGAAACACUCCCGCUCUUGACAGGAUAUGGUCUGCUUAUCACAUAAUCUUCUCAAGUUUCAUUCCCAUUCUGCUUACAAAUGCCCCAAAUAUAAAGAGAUGCAUUUCAUCAAGA